GUGCCGGUAGAUUAGCCCGGCCAUGGCCUCAGCAAUGAGGCUGUGGGGAAAUAGAUCGCCUCCUUGGCAUGGAGGAGGUCCCGUGUUCAAAUCACGGCCGGUCCACCA
Molecule: transfer RNA, 108 nt
Filed under: Candidatus Thorarchaeota archaeon
Lineage: Archaea; Promethearchaeati; Candidatus Thorarchaeota
Description: tRNA-Ala
Source: RNAcentral